This 388-nucleotide ribosomal RNA is filed under the name Catharus ustulatus (Swainson's thrush). Its description in RNAcentral is "partial 16S ribosomal RNA". It matches the Rfam family "Archaeal large subunit ribosomal RNA", at positions 2011 to 2553 of the family's 2987-position model. The record is from RNAcentral. Lineage: Eukaryota; Metazoa; Chordata; Aves; Passeriformes; Turdidae.
CGGUAUCCUAACCGUGCAAAGGUAGCGCAAUCAAUUGUCCCAUAAAUCGAGACUAGUAUGAAUGGCUAAACGAGGUCUUAACUGUCUCUUGCAGGCAAUCGGUGAAAUUGAUCUCCCUGUGCGAAAGCAGGGAUAAACCCAUAAGACGAGAAGACCCUGUGGAACUUUAAAAUCAGCUGCCACCCCAAAAUACAUAAACACCCACCGGGCUCACUUACAUGUAAGCCACUGGCACGCAUUUUUUCGGUUGGGGCGACCUUGGAGAAAAACAAAUCCUCCAAAAAUUGGACCACCACUCCAAACUAAGAGCAACCCCUCAAAGUGCGAACAGCAACCAGACCCAAUAUAAUUGAUCAAUGGACCAAGCUACCCCAGGGAUAACAGCGCA